AAUGCAGGCUGGCUGCAAGAGAUUAUAAUAACUUGCCUCCACUGAAGAAACUUGUCCAGAGCAAACAUCUUCCUCUCAAAUAAAAAAAGCCACGUAUGCAGUGAAAAAUUUUCAUUAAGGCCAGUUUUCUCAGAUCAGCACCCAAAUGCUCUUGCAUCAAGUUUGGCAAAAGAUGAGGGGAAGCUUGGAGGAAAGCAAAAUCUCCCUAACUUUCAGAAUUGUCCAUGACCAAAAGGCAGAAGGAAGCCUUCAAAUCAGGGCAGAAGCUGGAAACUCCUGUCCACCAUGCCUCGAAUCAGUGAAAAACAGCAUGCAAACUUCAUAUUCCUUUGGAUAUAUAUUCAACCAUCAUCUUUCAGUAAAGUGUUAAAAUGA
This is a long non-coding RNA of Rhincodon typus (whale shark), 375 nucleotides long. RefSeq lists it as uncharacterized. The transcript is spliced from 2 exons. Lineage: Eukaryota; Metazoa; Chordata; Chondrichthyes; Orectolobiformes; Rhincodontidae. The record is from RefSeq and is a predicted model, not a curated record.